Molecule: ribosomal RNA, 459 nt
Filed under: uncultured bacterium
Lineage: Bacteria
Description: partial 16S ribosomal RNA
Rfam family: Bacterial small subunit ribosomal RNA
Source: RNAcentral
CUACGGGAGGCUGCAGUAAGGAAUAUUGCGCAAUGGAGGCAACUCUGACGCAGCCAUGCCGCGUGCAGGAAGAAGGCCUUAUGGGUCGUAAACUGCUUUUAUUUAGGAAUAAACCCCCGAACGUGUUCGGGGCUGAAGGUACUAAACGAAUAAGCACCGGCUAACUCCGUGCCAGCAGCCGCGGUAAUACGGAGGGUGCAAGCGUUAUCCGGAUUUAUUGGGUUUAAAGGGUGCGCAGGCGGGCUAUUAAGUCAGUGGUGAAAUCCCGGGGCUCAACUCCGGAACUGCCAUUGAUACUGAUAGUCUUGAGUUUGGUUGAAGUGGGCGGAAUGUAGCAUGUAGCGGUGACAUGCAUAGAUAUGCUACAGAACACCAAUCGCGAAGGCAGCUCACUAAGCCAAAACUGACGCUCAUGCACGAAAGCGUGGGGAUCAAACAGGAUUAGAUACCCUCGUAGUC